Molecule: long non-coding RNA, 253 nt
Filed under: Zostera marina
Lineage: Eukaryota; Viridiplantae; Streptophyta; Magnoliopsida; Alismatales; Zosteraceae
Description: long non-coding RNA (ZMAR_LNC001971)
Source: RNAcentral
GAAUAUUGUCACGCAUGUUCUCCAUCCGGGACUUCACGUUCUUCAGCUUGGCAAGGGCUUUCUCGCUCUCCUUGAACUUCGUGUCAAGCUGAUUGUAUUUCUCUUGAAUCUUCUCAGUAUCAUGGAUGGUGUCGACACUGUAGCACGCAUGUGCCAUGUAGCAAGCAGCAGUCAUGUGUCGAAGUAGCUCGUUCCGACACCACCGCCCGGACUGGCCCAUCAAGAGUGACAUCGCUUCCUUCUUAACCUCAGG